GACUCCUGCGCAAGCGCAGAGUGAAGGGCCGGGAACAGUGGAGGGUGCGAGGAAGACAAUGGGGGAGGACCCUGAGGCGGCCUCUGUGAGCCGACAGGAACACGUGGUCGAUCAGAGAGAGACUCGAGGUUCGUGAACGGAUGGGGAGGACCCUGAAAAGCACUGUGGAAUACAGGUUUCUAGUAACUUCAAAAUCACAUCAUUUGGACUGGAACCCAAAGAUGGGAUCUUCUGAGAACAUCAGAGAAACGCUGCCCUUGGCAUCAUCACUGCAACAAAACAUCAGGAUCUUGAACCUUGGGGUCAUAAUCUCACAACUGAGCAGGGUCACUCUUGGAACUCUACAUCCAUUGAAACCCUUAAGGUAAAGCUAAUCAGGGAAGUUUCUCCCCAGAAGAAGAUGGCAUCCUUGAUGUGAGCAGCUCUUUCUGAAGAUCAUGGAUCAAGACUUCUUACUAUCAUGAGACUCUUAUCUUUGAAUGUUUUUCCGUUGCUUCCGCCUCUGUGAACAACAGAAGUGAGAAGGGGGUCUGUUUUGUGCACUUAUGGGGUAUACUUUUAUUUGUGAAGGGCUUUGCAGCCAGCUUUAUACAUGGAUAAUCUUAUAACUUGAUAGAUAAAGAUGAAGGCCCAGUGUAUCAUAGGUGAGAAACUUCAAUGGUACAUAUGGUGCCUCAUAAUCAUUCAGAAGCAGAACAUUGGUUCACUCCUCUUAACCCACAGCAUGGGUUAAAGAGACCAUUGCCAAGAGGCCUUCCCUCUUCUAGAAGGGCAUCAUUUGUUAGGUCCUUUUUCCAUGGUUUGGAAUUAAAAAGGCAAUGACUAGAAACAUAUCCCUCAUGGUAGACUCUGUAGCAGAUUCUACUGUAAAGGCUACACAACAGAUGUUAAAUUCUCUUGUGAAAGUUAUGCUAAAAAAUAGAAUUGGCUAAACAGGAAAGUACCUGUGCAGAUGCUGGCACUUAAGGCCUAUGGAGAAAACAUCAGGUGUUAUAGAGAGUCUGUUGUAGGGAAUUAACGAAAAGACCACUGAGUUAAGUCAAAGAAUGGUCUAUUUGAGUUUAGGUGGUCUGGUUUAUGGGGACCCUGGCUAAGGAGCAUACUCCAAAUUCUUGGUGUUAACCCUCUCAGUAGUCAUAAGAAUAGUCUCCCUGGUGCACUGUAUUCUCUCAAAGGUUUUAAAUGUUUGCAUGAAGCCAUCUUUAGAACGUCAGAUGGUCUCUCUUCAACUGGAAUGACAAGAGCUGAAAGAAAUGUGUGACCACGAGGACACCGAAACCGAUGAGUGACAUGCUGAGACUGGAAAUCCAAAAUGAUAGUAACGGAGAGUGGCGCUAACAUCCUAAGUUUUGGUCACACUCUUGCCUAAGUGACAACCUGACAAAGGGGGAAUUUUUUAAACAAAAUGAUGGGAGGCCAUUGUUUUGGACUGAGCACUAGGUCCCAACAGACCAAACCGAACCAAAAUGGCAUCAUUCGUGCUAAAUGUGACAUAAUCGAAUUAAGACUUUAAGGAAACACAUGGGUCCUAGAAUAGACCAGGUUUUGUUUUUCUCUUGCAAACAGGACUUUCCAGCAUAAGGUGGUAUCCUCAACUCAGUCCUUGUUCCUACCUUUGCAAAACUCACUGUUCUGCUUCCUAGUGGGUUUCAAGACCAAUGGUGACAGUGACAUCAAUAACUCAAGUUUCGAUCAAUCUCUCAAAACUGAUAAAAUGACCAAAAAGGGGGAAUUGUUAAAGCGAACUAAAUAUGGCCUGAGAAGGACUCCGUACUUCUGUAUUGGAGUCCCUGUGAACAAACUGAGCCUAACUUAAUAGGUAGACAAGAUUGAAAACCUAAAUUAGGAGUAUGUACCUGUCACAAUUGCUGAGUCUCGGCCAGUCCCAGCAGCCGUACUUCAAUCACUCAUACACUGCUGAAUGUUCAAACUGUGUGUAAAUAAGGCAAAUGCCAACCUGUAACUAAUCCAGGUGUUUCUCUACCUCACUUCCCUUUUUUUGUCUAUAAAUCUUCCACCACGUGGCUGCACUGGAGUCUCUCUGAAUCUGCUGUAAUUCUGGGGGCUGCCCGAUGUGCAAAUCAUUCAUUGCUCAAUUAAACUCCUUUAAAUUUAAUUCAGCUGAAGUUUUCUUUUAACAAGAGUGAGAUAAGAAUCUGUGUUCUUAUCCCCCAGAAUGGACAAAUCAGUAGCGUUCCUUGUCAUUCUUUUGUGGCUGGUUUCACGUAAAUAUUUUGUGUGUAUGAUAAUAGAAUUUGAUUUUAAUGAAUAUACUUUAAAAGCAACUUUUUUUUUAUUCUUCCUCACCAUCGAAGAUGGAGAAAAAUAAGAAGGGCUGUCUUGCGGUUCCAUUUCUUUUGUGGAUAGUAAGAAGCGCUGUCUUCUGGUUCCGUUUUUUUUUUCUGGAUAGUAAGGAUGUUUAUCUUACUCUGUCUUCAUUGUCCUCAAACCUCAAGUAGUCACUAAUACCCUGGCUAUGACAGCUUUUAUCGUAGUGUUAAAUGGCAGAUUUAUUUACUUGGCAAACAUUGUCAAGUCUCAGAAAAAUUACCCCAUGGUCUUGCCUUCUUCCCUCGUGAAUUGCCUUCCACUGAUGGAGAGGAUUUGAUCUGUUCCCUGCUCAUCAAUUUUUCUAGCUUCUUUGGGAUGUCCGCUCUGCAUAUCUACUAAGGAAUUAAGAAAUAAUGGCUUCAGCAAGAAACAAGGCAGGAAAGUGCAGUGACAUGAGGACCAUACAGGGAAGGAGCUGUCCCCAAAGCAGGGUCUUUGUGACUUGUACCUUGUGCGGACCUCCUACUCAUCCUGUGACUAAGAACACUGAACUUCCUGGGGUUACAGCCCACAGGUCUCAGCCUCAUUUCAUCCAGCCCCUAUUCAAGAUGGAGUCGCUCUGGUUCAAAUGCCUCUGACACUAGUAAGGAUCACAGGUGGCAUCAACAGGUUUGGAGCAAACCUGAGUGUCUCCCGGUUGGUCACAUCUCAACUGACGAAAUCCACGACCAGCAGAGAGCAGCCUCCUUGCCCCCUGUGCUCACUGAGUCAUCCAGCCCAUUUUGACCAAGAUUAUGUGAGUUGCUGGAGCAGAGGUUGGUUGAGGGAGCUCCCACUGUAUGUAAUCACCGUG
RNAcentral lists this long non-coding RNA (3124 nucleotides) under Homo sapiens (human). RNAcentral describes it as "non-protein coding lnc-PDGFA-17:13". Lineage: Eukaryota; Metazoa; Chordata; Mammalia; Primates; Hominidae. The record is from RNAcentral.